AUAUCUUUUUCUAUUACAAACAUUAAACCACCCGCACCACUAGCCCCAAAUAAAAAAAUAGAAAAUAACCCAUAUGAGUUUCCACAUUGCUCAGGCUGAUCGCUGGCUGGGGUGCCUCAACACAUACAAGUCGAGCGCGGGCUUCGCUCAGAAUGGAGUAUUGUAAGUCUAGAAAGUUACAAUUUUGAGCAAAACCAAACUGCGGGUCGGGUGAGUAACGGGGUGGGUAACCUGCCCUAUACACAUGGAUAACAUACUGAAAAGUUUACUAAUACAUGAUAAUAUAUUUUUGCGGCAUCGCAGAUAUAUCUAAGUGUUAGCGGUAUAGGAUGGACCCGCGUCUGAUUAGCUAGUUGGUGAGAUAACUGCCCACCAAGGCGACGAUCAGUAGCCGACCUGAGAGGGUGAUCGGCCACAUUGGAACUGAGACACGGUCCAAACUCCUACGGGAGGCAGCAGUGGGGAAUAUUGCACAAUGGGCGAAAGCCUGAUGCAGCAACGCCGCGUGAACGAUGAAGGUCUUCGGAUCGUAAAGUUCUGUUGCAGGGGAAGAUAAUGACGGUACCCUGUGAGGAAGCCCCGGCUAACUACGUGCCAGCAGCCGCGGUAAUACGUAGGGGGCUAGCGUUAUCCGGAUUUACUGGGCGUAAAGGGUGCGUAGGUGGUCCUUCAAGUCGGUGGCUAAAGGCUACGGCUCAACCGUAGUAAGCCGCCGAAACUGGAGGACUUGAGUGCAGGAGAGGAAAGUGGAAUUCCCAGUGUAGCGGUGAAAUGCGUAGAUAUUGGGAGGAACACCAGUAGCGAAGGCGGCUUUCUGGACUGCAACUGACACUGAGGCACGAAAGCGUGGGUAGCAAACAGG
Molecule: ribosomal RNA, 862 nt
Filed under: uncultured Streptococcus sp.
Lineage: Bacteria; Bacillati; Bacillota; Bacilli; Lactobacillales; Streptococcaceae
Description: bacterial SSU rRNA
Rfam family: Bacterial small subunit ribosomal RNA
Source: RNAcentral